GCGUUGCUCGGAAUUACUGGGCGUAAAGGGCGCGUAGGCGGCCUGUUAAGUCGAACGUGAAAUCCCCGGGCUCAACCCGGGAACUGCGUCCGAUACUGGCAGGCUUGAAUCCGGGAGAGGGAUGCGGAAUUCCAGGUGUAGCGGUGAAAUGCGUAGAUAUCUGGAGGAACACCGGUGGCGAAGGCGGCAUCCUGGACCGGUAUUGACGCUGAGGCGCGAAAGCCAGGGGAGCAAACGGG
This 239-nucleotide ribosomal RNA is filed under the name uncultured bacterium. RNAcentral's name for it is "partial 16S ribosomal RNA". It matches the Rfam family "Bacterial small subunit ribosomal RNA", at positions 538 to 776 of the family's 1533-position model. The record is from RNAcentral.